This 102-nucleotide microRNA precursor is filed under the name Myotis lucifugus (little brown bat). Its description in RNAcentral is "miRNA (ENSMLUG00000024284.1)". Lineage: Eukaryota; Metazoa; Chordata; Mammalia; Chiroptera; Vespertilionidae. The record is from RNAcentral.
GCCUAAUAUAUAUAUAUAUAUAUAUAUAUAGUGUGUGUGUGUGUGUGUAUAUAUAUAUAUAUACACACACGCAUACACACUAGUGGCCUGGUGCAUGAAUUC